This 529-nucleotide ribosomal RNA is filed under the name uncultured bacterium. RNAcentral describes it as "bacterial SSU rRNA". It matches the Rfam family "Bacterial small subunit ribosomal RNA", at positions 32 to 556 of the family's 1533-position model. The record is from RNAcentral.
GACGCUCGCGGCAUGCCUUACACAUGCAAGUCGAACGGCAGCACGGGAGCAAUCCUGGUGGCGAGUGGCGAACGGGUGAGUAAUACAUCGGAACGUGCCCAGUAGUGGGGGAUAGCCCGGCGAAAGCCGGAUUAAUACCGCAUACGACCUACGGGUGAAAGCGGGGGAUCGCAAGACCUCGCGCUAUCGGAGCGGCCGAUGUCAGAUUAGCUAGUUGGUGGGGUAAAGGCCUACCAAGGCGACGAUCUGUAGCUGGUCUGAGAGGACGACCAGCCACACUGGGACUGAGACACGGCCCAGACACCUACGGGAGGCAGCAGUGGGGAAUUUUGGACAAUGGGGGCAACCCUGAUCCAGCCAUGCCGCGUGCGGGAAGAAGGCCUUCGGGUUGUAAACCGCUUUUGUCAGGGAAGAAACGCUCCGAGCUAAUACCUCGGAGUAAUGACGGUACCUGAAGAAUAAGCACCGGCUAACUACGUGCCAGCAGCCGCGGUAAUACGUAGGGUGCAAGCGUUAAUCGGAAUUACUG